RNAcentral lists this ribosomal RNA (253 nucleotides) under uncultured bacterium. RNAcentral's name for it is "partial 16S ribosomal RNA". It matches the Rfam family "Bacterial small subunit ribosomal RNA", at positions 524 to 776 of the family's 1533-position model. The record is from RNAcentral.
UACGAAGGGGGCUAGCGUUGCCCGGAAUCACUGGGCGUAAAGGGUGCGUAGGCGGGUCUUUAAGUCAGGGGUGAAAUCCUGGAGCUCAACUCCAGAACUGCCUUUGAUACUGAGAAGCUUGAGUCCGGGAGAGGUGAGUGGAACUGCGAGUGUAGAGGUGAAAUUCGUAGAUAUUCGCAAGAACACCAGUGGCGAAGGCGGCUCACUGGCCCGGUACUGACGCUGAGGUGCGAAAGCGUGGGGAGCAAACAGG